UCAAUUUAUACGAUGUGCACAACUAGUGAUAAUACACAAUAGAUGGAAUAUUAAAGUAAAGACAUGAAAAACGUUAUAAUUAUAUUAUAUUAUGAUAUUGUGUACAUAUGGCGUAUUUAUAAAUAUUAUAAAUCUAUAAAAGCCGACGUCCGUCUACGAUCAGUUUAAUAAGUCGAACGCAAGUGAUUCGAUAAACGUCUAUUCAGUGCGAGUUUACUGAAACACACCAAACGACCAGAACCAUCAUGAGAUUUUCGUUAGCAAUUAUUUCGGCGUUCGCAUUUUUAAUCGUCACAGAUGUCUCGUACGUGAACGCAAAACACGUCGCGACUACUACCGAUGGUAUAAUCCGUUCGACAACUACGUUAGAACAUGCUGAUCAAACGAAAGACGAACACACAACGUUAAAGAAACAUCAUGGCAAUAAAUCCAGUAGCACUCUCAUACCAAAAACAUUCACUCCUUUAUCCAUUAUAAAGACUACACCGACACCGGAAGAAGACCGAGAUUGCCCAAAUGGAUAUUAUUAUCACGAACUCUAUGGAUGCGUGAGAAUUUAUGUUUAAAUUUUAGUAAAAAUAUUAAUUUAAUAAUUUAUUUAAAACAUAUUAUAUCAUUUCUCUACGUUAAAAUAAUAUGUACGUAUACCUAUAUAAGUAUUUUAAUAUGUUAUUAUUGUUACUAUCUUACUUUUAUAUUAUUACUAACGUUAAGAUAUCAUGUGAUCGUCGUAUUUUGGCUCCAAAAAGCAAAACGAAUAAUAACUGAUAAAGUUAAAUAUUUUGAAAUAUUUCAAUUUAAAAUUCAGAAUCAGAAACCUAGUUAGAAAUACGUAUUAUAAAUUCCAAAUCAUGUAUUUCAAAUAUAGUUUAUAUUUAUGAUAUGAUAUUUUAUAAGAUUAUGGUAAUAUUAAAUUAUGUUUUUAUUAAAUUUAAAAAAAAAAUAGUUUUUAAUUUUGCUUUAAUUAAAUCGUUUUUAUUUGUACGACCUGUUUAAUUGCGAAUUAUGUUAUUUACCAUAUAAAUUUGAUUAUAAUUUAUACUUUUUAAUUAUUAUUAUCUAUAAAAUAAUAUAAUCUAAAAGUUGUACUGUACAUUUAUUUUGAUAUAUAAUGACUAUAAUUAUGUUAUUAAUGAAUUUUCUAGAAGGGAAAAUUAACAUCUAUCCGAGUAUUAAAUUAAUGUGUUACGAAUAGUAAUUAAUUAUUACAUUGUUAAAAUAAACUAAUAUGAUCCGACGAUAAAAUCAUAAAAUAAAAUUUAGUUUUUGAAACCGAACAAACUGAAAGAUUAAUGACAAUUAAACAAUACAUACAUUUUUCACUAUUCUUCCAACAUCUUUAUCUAUUUUCCCAAGACUAUUUUUAUGAUUUUAUUCACCUUGUUGAAGUUUCGUUAUUCAAUUUGAUAUGAAUUGGAAAAUAUAUUUAAUUUAGUUUUUAAGAAUAUUUUAAGAUAUUAUGCAAACCAUAAUCAUAAAAAAAAAUUAUUUGCAUUUAUUAUCUUUCACCACAUAACAUCCUUUCCGAAAAUGCAGUGUAAGUAGUUGUAAAUUCAAAAUGUUAUUAUUGUAAAAUCUAUUUAUAUCUCUUAUAAAAAUAUAAAUUUAUAUAAUUUUCUUAUUAUUCUUGAUAUACUGCUAUAAACAGUAUAAAGUAUAAAAUAAGUUUUGCUUUCUUUUUACUCACUAAUUAAUUUUAUUUUUUUUUCAAAUGCGUAACUAUUUAGAGUUUAAUUUUAGUGGGUAUGGGUGUUGAUAAAUAAACCUUUCUCAAAGUGCUGAAAUAUAUUGUCAAACCUAAAUAUGUGUUAAAAAAAAAAAACGAUUUCAGCAUAUUACAGUGAUGAUAUUCAACGAAAUGUAUUUUUUUACCUUAAACAACAUUAUUAAUAAUAUUUAAUAUCAUUUUUAAGUAAACCUACGAUAUAAAUAUUGUUAUUAGACAGUACCACAUCUAAUUUUGAUUUUUUUUUUUUGGACCAAGCUAAUGUAAUAUUGCUAUUUCUAGCUUGAAAUAAAUGAUAAGCUCUGUAUCUGCAUAAUGACAUUUUAAACGUACAUAAAAUACAUUUCCUUCUUAUUA
Long non-coding RNA from Rhopalosiphum padi (bird cherry-oat aphid), 2083 nucleotides. RefSeq lists it as uncharacterized. The record is from RefSeq and is a predicted model, not a curated record. Lineage: Eukaryota; Metazoa; Arthropoda; Insecta; Hemiptera; Aphididae. The transcript is spliced from 2 exons.